UACGUAGGUGGCAAGCGUUGUCCGGAAUUAUUGGGCGUAAAGCGCGCGCAGGUGGUUUCUUAAGUCUGAUGUGAAAGCCCACGGCUCAACCGUGGAGGGUCAUUGGAAACUGGGGAACUUGAGUGCAGGAGAGAAGAGUGGAAUUCCACGUGUAGCGGUGAAAUGCGUAGAGAUGUGGAGGAACACCAGUGGCGAAGGCGGCUCACUGGCCCGUAACUGACGCUGAGGUGCGAAAGCGUGGGGAGCAAACAGG
RNAcentral lists this ribosomal RNA (253 nucleotides) under uncultured bacterium. RNAcentral's name for it is "partial 16S ribosomal RNA". It matches the Rfam family "Bacterial small subunit ribosomal RNA", at positions 524 to 776 of the family's 1533-position model. The record is from RNAcentral.